AGCUUGCUGUUUCGCUGACGAGUGGCGGACGGGUGAGUAAUGUCUGGGAAACUGCCUGAUGGAGGGGGAUAACUACUGGAAACGGUAGCUAAUACCGCAUAACGUCGCAAGACCAAAGAGGGGGACCCUCGGGCCUCUUGCCAUCGGAUGUGCCCAGAUGGGAUUAGCUUGUUGGUGGGGUAACGGCUCACCAAGGCGACGAUCCCUAGCUGGUCUGAGAGGAUGACCAGCCACACUGGAACUGAGACACGGUCCAGACUCCUACGGGAGGCAGCAGUGGGGAAUAUUGCACAAUGGGCGCAAGCCUGAUGCAGCCAUGCCGCGUGUAUGAAGAAGGCCUUCGGGUUGUAAAGUACUUUCAGCGGGGAGGAAGGGAGUAAAGUUAAUACCUUUGCUCAUUGACGUUACCCGCAGAAGAAGCACCGGCUAACUCCGUGCCAGCAGCCGCGGUAAUACGGAGGGUGCAAGCGUUAAUCGGAAUUACUGGGCGUAAAGCGCACGCAGGCGGUUUGUUAAGUCAGAUGUGAAAUCCCCGGGCUCAACAUGGGAACUGCAUCUGAUACUGGCAAGCUUGAGUCUCGUAGAGGGGGGUAGAAUUCCAGGUGUAGCGGUGAAAUGCGUAGAGAUCUGGAGGAAUACCGGUGGCGAAGGCGGCCCCAUGGACGAAGACUGACGCUCAGGUGCGAAAGCGUGGGGAGCAAACAGGAUU
Molecule: ribosomal RNA, 709 nt
Filed under: uncultured Enterobacterales bacterium
Lineage: Bacteria; Pseudomonadati; Pseudomonadota; Gammaproteobacteria; Enterobacterales
Description: bacterial SSU rRNA
Rfam family: Bacterial small subunit ribosomal RNA
Source: RNAcentral